UAACAUGAAGUCCUAUGAGUGUCAUCUGAUGAUCAUCAAAGGUUAGUGAUUCAUUUUAGCUAUAUUUCUGCUUUUUGUGACUCCUCUCUUUGGCUGUAAAAAUGGCUGUGUUUUUAUCUGACUUGGAAUGUCUGGUAGAGGCAGAGUAUGAUAAGGAGAUUAAUAGAAUUCUGGCGUUUGAUUGCAAAUGCAUAGGGAGUCGAAAAGAGAACACAGAAGGUUGUUGUAUAAAAAACCUGUCUCUGGAAUACAUCUUCAAACUAAGGGCAUCCGUGACAGAGAGGGAGAAAGAGAGGGAGAAAGAUCUGAUGAAUCUUAUGGCAUUGCAAACGGUCAGUGUGAACCAGAGUGACCAAACAAGCUGUAUAAACAAAAUGGAAACGACACAGGAUGUCUUAUUUAAUGAAAGGGGUUGCAGUCUGCCCUGAAGCUUUCAUCCAUGUAUAUGGGUAAGAAUCUAGCUACAGUUUCAGAUAUUAUACGUUUCUAAUUUUGUCAGAAAGUUGUUUUCAUUGCAAGUUAAGGCUUGCUGUUAGCUAGCUAGCUGACAUUGGAUGGCUUGCUAGCCAUCAUUACGUGUAUGAACUGUGUAGUGAUGUUAUCUCAGAAUGCCAUUUUGCAUUGCUAGUUAUAGGAUAAUGUUAGCUAGCUAACUAGCUAACAUUGAACCUGUUUGGUUUAGCGAGCUAUGACAAUUGGUUUGUAUUGCUAGUAAUCUAUGGAUUGGGAUUAUGGUUCAUUGUUUAGCUAGCUAGCUACAUGUCUAAACAAAAUACCUUGAGUUAAAGCUUGCAGUUAGCUAGCUAGCUGACGACCCAUCAAGUUAGCCAGGUGUGUCUGACAGUGAUUACGACCAUCUAUUUUAUUAUAAUGCAAAAAUAUUUGUAUCUGGAAUUUGUCUUUCAGCAUCAGUAGAACACGCCUGACUCUCCUCCACCAGUCAUACAAGGAGAAUGGUCUAAUGUCUCCCAUCAAAAAGAGAGCUGGCCCAAGCAAGCACGUUACACCUGAAGCAUGAGGACUUGCAACGACAACUACGCAGAGGAUAAUACAAUAGUAUUACCAGGACGCCACCCAGGACACAAACACUUUGGUGGAAAGCUCCUGCCAUCCCAUGUGACAAAAGCAGCAGUGUGGCGUCUCUACAAGGAAUCAAUGACAACACUUGGAAUCUGUGGAGAUUCCUGAAGCACUAAGCCCAGGACAGACCUGUGUUGCCAAUGCCAGAGGAACAACUAAGGUCUUCAGAUUUGCAAAUCUGUCAGAAGCUGUUAAGUCAGCCAAGCUGAAAAAGCACAAGCUCCCCUACAGUCUGGACCUUCACUUCCUGAUCACAGGCCACACCAAGUUUGCCCCUGACUGGAGAUUCGGCCUCAUAAAGCAGAGCUUCAGAAAGACCAUAGUGAACACUUUGUCUGAGAUUGCUGGUGUUGUGAAGGACAGCACUGUGACAGGGCUCAACAUCCCACAGCUGGUUGGACUGGAGGAUGGUACGGUGCUGGUGGAAAGCUAUGGCUGGCAACACCAGACUCCGUACUUCAGGGCACUGCCACAGAUCAAGCAGUACCAGGACUUCAGGCGGAUAACAUUUUCAUUGCAAUCUUCAAUGCUCUGGAGCCUGGUGUUGUUAUCGCCAUGGAGCGUUCGGACUGUCGGGACCAGGCUUCAGCUGCUGCUCAAUGCUGACAUCCUUCCUCCCAUAGAUGAUCUGCCUGUACAAGAAACACCUGGACUGGACACAGCUAGAGAAACUUAUCUUUUUGAGAAGAUCAGGGAGUUUUGCGAUGAAGAGGCUGUGGACAUCACAUGCCCUGCACCAAAGUCAAGGGCAGGACAGAAACAGGCUCUCUGAAUAUAGAUUCCCUUGUUCAUGCAUGGUUCGGACGAACCAGUCAUCAGCACUAUCUGCAGUGCCUCUAUUCACAUGACUCUACGUUGUUGCUACUAUUUUAUUUAUCCCGCUUCUCAGCCACUUUACCUCUGAUGUGUGCAUUUAACUACCUCGUCUAUCACUGAUAUCAUUAUUGAUAUUGUUCUUGUACAUACUGUAUAUUAUUUUAUAUAUAUUGACACUAUAUGUUUCUGAUAUUGCUACUAUGCAAGUAACCAUUUCUCUGUACUGUUUACACCUUCUGUGACCCAUCCACUUGGCAAUAUGUGGCUGGGGUUAUAGCUGUCACGCCCUGGUCUUAGUAUUUUCUUUAUUAUUUUGAUCAGGCCAGGGUGUGACAUGGGUUAUUUUAUGUGGUGUGUUUUGUCUAGGGGUUUGUUGUAGGUUAUGGGAUAGUGGUUA
This is a non-coding RNA of Oncorhynchus mykiss (rainbow trout), 2293 nucleotides long. NCBI's taxonomy places the organism in Eukaryota, Metazoa, Chordata, Actinopteri, Salmoniformes, Salmonidae. The record is from RefSeq and is a predicted model, not a curated record.